AGUAGAAAUUAUGUCUUUGAUUUUACAUUUUCACACUUAAAUGACUCUGAAUGUUGUAACUACUGCAUUUUGCAAUCAAUAGCAUAUUCCAAUUAGAGAACUCCAAUAACAUGUUCUCCUUCCUAGGGUCCAGGCUCCCAUCUCCUUCACAAAUUGAAAUGAAGGCUGAGAGGGUAAAACCAGUGGGUCUUUAGGAGACUGUGUAUGAAGAUUUGACUUGGGCAUUAAACACCUUUGUUUUCUGCCUCUUCCCACCAGGAGAAGUUGCUCCAGUGCAAGGAACUGCAUUCGACCUGAGAAAGCCAGUGGAGCUUGGAAAACACCUGCACAAGUUCCACAUCAAUGGUUUUGACCACAACUUCUGUCUGAAGGGAUCUAAAGAAAAACAUUUUUGUGCAAGGGUACAUCAUGCUGGAAGUGGGCGGGUACUAGAAGUGUAUACCACCCAGCCCGGGGUCCAGUUUUACACGGGCAACUUCCUGGAUGGCACACUGAAGGGCAAAAAUGGAGCGGUCUACCCCAAGCACUCUGGUUUCUGCCUGGAGACCCAGAACUGGCCUGAUGCUGUCAAUCAGCCCCACUUCCCACCUGUGCUGCUGAGGCCUGGUGAGGAGUAUGACCACACCACCUGGUUCAAGUUUUCUGUGGCUUAAGGAAGUAGGAAGAUAUGAAGUGGUUCCAGGCUGGGCUGGGAGCUCCCUCAGCAGCCUGUCUUCUGUCCAGAGAUGAAGUGAAGAUGUAGAGACUUUCAAAGUGAUCCUAUGAAUUUAAAUCAUACAAAUGGUAGCUGACAUGAUAGUUAAGUCUGAAUACUGAUUGCUUUUUCCAGUGA
Molecule: long non-coding RNA, 832 nt
Organism: Galeopterus variegatus (Sunda flying lemur)
Lineage: Eukaryota; Metazoa; Chordata; Mammalia; Dermoptera; Cynocephalidae
Exons: 3
Source: RefSeq, a predicted model, not a curated record